GAUGAACGCUAGCGGCAGGCCUAAUACAUGCAAGUCGAGGGAGAAUGUUGGAUUCGUCUGACAUGAAACCGGCGCACGGGUGCGUAACACGUAUGCAACCUACCUUUAACUGGGGUAUAGCUCAGAGAAAUCUGAAUUAAUCCCCCAUAAGACUACGACAUGGCAUCAUGAUGUAGUUAAAGCUCCGGCGGUUAAGGAUGGGCAUGCGGUACAUUAGCUAGUUGGUGAGGUAAUGGCUCACCAAGGCUACGAUGUAUAGGGGGUCUGAGAGGAUGAGCCCCCACACUGGUACUGAGACACGGACCAUACUCCUACGGGAGGCAGCAGUAGGGAAUAUUGGUCAAUGGACGCAAGUCUGAACCAGCCAUGCCGCGUGAAGGAUGAAGGCCCUAUGAGUCGUAAACUUCUUUUAUUAGGGAAGAAAAAACGGGAUGCGUCCUGUACUGACGGUACUUAAUGAAUAAGGAUCGGCUAACUUCGUGCCAGCCGCCGCCGUAA
Molecule: ribosomal RNA, 498 nt
Filed under: uncultured bacterium
Lineage: Bacteria
Description: partial 16S ribosomal RNA
Rfam family: Bacterial small subunit ribosomal RNA
Source: RNAcentral